Molecule: ribosomal RNA, 488 nt
Filed under: uncultured bacterium
Lineage: Bacteria
Description: bacterial SSU rRNA
Rfam family: Bacterial small subunit ribosomal RNA
Source: RNAcentral
GACGAACGCUGGCUGCGUGCUUAACACAUGCAAGUCGAACGCUGAAGCUCACAGCUUGCUGUGGGUGGAUGAGUGGCGAACGGGUGAGUAACACGUGAGUAACCUGCCCCCGAUUUCGGGAUAAGCCCGGGAAACUGGGUCUAAUACCGGAUAUGACCACCGGCCGCAUGGUUGGUGGUGGAAAGUUUUUCGAUCGGGGAUGGGCUCGCGGCCUAUCAGCUUGUUGGUGGGGUAAUGGCCUACCAAGGCGACGACGGGUAGCCGGCCUGAGAGGGCGACCGGCCACACUGGGACUGAGACACGGCCCAGACUCCUACGGGAGGCAGCAGUGGGGAAUAUUGCACAAUGGGGGAAACCCUGAUGCAGCGACGCAGCGUGCGGGAUGACGGCCUUCGGGUUGUAAACCGCUUUCAGCAGGGAAGAAGCGAAAGUGACGGUACCUGCAGAAGAAGUACCGGCUAACUACGUGCCAGCCGCCGCCGUAACAC